UACGGAGGGUGCGAGCGUUGUCCGGAAUUACUGGGCGUAAAGUGUGCGCAGGCGGCCGCGCAAGUCGAGUGUGAAAGCCCCGAGCUUAACUUGGGAAUUGCGCUCGAAACUACGUGGCUGGAGUGUGGCAGAGGAAGGUGGAAUUCCACGUGUAGCGGUGAAAUGCGUAGAGAUGUGGAGGAACACCAAUGGCGAAGGCAGCCUUCUGGGCCAACACUGACGCUCAUGCACGAAAGCGUGGGGAGCAAACAGG
Molecule: ribosomal RNA, 253 nt
Filed under: uncultured bacterium
Lineage: Bacteria
Description: partial 16S ribosomal RNA
Rfam family: Bacterial small subunit ribosomal RNA
Source: RNAcentral